This 917-nucleotide long non-coding RNA is filed under the name Brassica napus (rape). Its description in RNAcentral is "long non-coding RNA (BNAP_LNC011852)". Lineage: Eukaryota; Viridiplantae; Streptophyta; Magnoliopsida; Brassicales; Brassicaceae. The record is from RNAcentral.
GCCUUUCUCCGUUGAAGAGCCUUCCAACCAGGUUGAGUUUGAAGCGAGCAAUCAGCUCAGAGUUAUCAACUGCCGGAAGGAUAACCAGGUCAUCAUCCUCCUCCUCUUGUACUUGCACUUGCAUCUUGUUCUUGGUGGAGUUUGUGAGUAACUGAGACAUCUUUGAAUUUUCAGGUAAAUUAUAGAUAUAGAUAGAACACUUUUCUAAGGACGAGACGUGGUGCAAAAGUCCUCAAGAACUUAUAAGCAGCAGAGAUCCACCGGUAUAGAAGUUUAACCGCCUAUGAAGAACAUCUUCUUUUGUAGGAGCUAGGACCCAGCAAAAGAGAAUUGAGAAGAAGCUUAAAACUGGAACUCAGUUUUGUAACAGAGACCAAAACACUACAUACGAGUGUAGGUCAGCUGUAAAAACGAGACCAUUUGUUGACUGAGGUGUUGUAGCCGUCCAGAUCUUCCGAGUACAGAGGAAAUCUAUGGCUUGUUGUAUGUUACUGUCUCUGUGGGGAGCAGGUAUGGAGAAAGCUUGGAGAUGCAGACGGUAGAUGUUAGAAAGAGAUGUAGCAGGGUAUGGCUUCACCGGAGGAGGCAGGAGCUAACAUCAGACACCGUCCGUACAUGCUUGCCGAGGAGGAUGUAUUGCUAGGUCCGGGGGAUAAAGAUUAAACGGGUAAGAAUUUGAAAAAACUUUCAGGGUUGCAGGCUUUUUUGCCAUAGAUGGAAAGAGUCUACUGGUCAAAGGAAGGUUUGGUUUAUAAGACAGCCGUUAAAGACCUCCUUCGCUUUUCGUGCCUAGGAGAGGCAUUUUUCAAUUAAGUUAUUUAUGGGAAUAUUAACAAUCUUUUAUUUUAGAGCUAAUUUGGUAGAAAACAAAGGAAGAGCGUUAAAUUAAGUAUCUACCAAAAACAGUAAAACAUAAG